GAUGAACGCUGGCGGCGUGCUUAACACAUGCAAGUCGAACGAAACACCUUAUUUGAUUUUCUUCGGAACUGAAGAUUUGGUGAUUGAGUGGCGGACGGGUGAGUAACGCGUGGGUAACCUGCCCUGUACAGGGGGAUAACAGUCAGAAAUGACUGCUAAUACCGCAUAAGACCACAGCACCGCAUGGUGCAGGGGUAAAAACUCCGGUGGUACAGGAUGGACCCGCGUCUGAUUAGCUGGUUGGUGAGGUAACGGCUCACCAAGGCGACGAUCAGUAGCCGGCUUGAGAGAGUGAACGGCCACAUUGGGACUGAGACACGGCCCAAACUCCUACGGGAGGCAGCAGUGGGGAAUAUUGCACAAUGGGGGGAACCCUGAUGCAGCGACGCCGCGUGAGUGAAGAAGUAUCUCGGUAUGUAAAGCUCUAUCAGCAGGGAAGAAAAUGACGGUACCUGACUAAGAAGCCC
RNAcentral lists this ribosomal RNA (467 nucleotides) under uncultured bacterium. RNAcentral's name for it is "bacterial SSU rRNA". It matches the Rfam family "Bacterial small subunit ribosomal RNA", at positions 28 to 493 of the family's 1533-position model. The record is from RNAcentral.